Molecule: non-coding RNA, 70 nt
Organism: Dipodomys ordii (Ord's kangaroo rat)
Lineage: Eukaryota; Metazoa; Chordata; Mammalia; Rodentia; Heteromyidae
Source: Rfam
GGGAAUGUGGCUUAGUGGUAGAGUGCUUGCCUAGCAUGCAUGAAGCCCUGGGUUUGAUUCCUCAGCACCA